This 233-nucleotide unclassified non-coding RNA is filed under the name Ascomycota sp. RNAcentral describes it as "partial contains small subunit ribosomal RNA, internal transcribed spacer 1, and 5.8S ribosomal RNA". The stretch from base 1 to 47 matches the Rfam family "Eukaryotic small subunit ribosomal RNA", at positions 1785 to 1831 of the family's 1831-position model. Lineage: Eukaryota; Fungi; Ascomycota. The record is from RNAcentral.
AAAGUCGUAACAAGGUUUCCGUAGGUGAACCUGCGGAAGGAUCAUUAACGAGAUCAUGCCCUCACGGGUAGACCUCCCACCCUUGAGUACUAUACCUUUGUUGCUUUGGCGGGCCGCUUCGGCCACCGGCUUAGGCUGGUGAGUGCCCGCCAGAGGACCCCAAACUCUGAAUUAUGUGUCGUCUGAGUACUAUACAAUAGUUAAAACUUUCAACAACGGAUCUCUUGGUUCUG